RNAcentral lists this small nuclear RNA (346 nucleotides) under Aotus nancymaae (Ma's night monkey). RNAcentral's name for it is "7SK RNA (ENSANAG00000005370.1)". It matches the Rfam family "7SK RNA". Rfam says of the family: 7SK was discovered as an abundant small nuclear RNA in the mid-70s but a possible function has only recently been suggested. Two independent studies have found that 7SK RNA binds the CDK9/cyclin T complex (known as elongation factor P-TEFb). Lineage: Eukaryota; Metazoa; Chordata; Mammalia; Primates; Aotidae. The record is from RNAcentral.
GGCUGUGAGGGAGAGCUGGCUGUGACAUGUCACCCCAUGGUUUGCCAAGGUGUAUUUGGCUGAUCUGGCUGGUUAGGCAGGCAUUCCCUUCCUUCCUCACUGCUUCAUGUUCUUCCCUCCUGAAGCCACAUGCUUGGUCGAACAGGAUGACCAUCCCUGACAGAGGAGGGCUGGUAUACAAGUCAAGGGUAUACAAGUAGCUACACUCCCCUGCUAGAACCUUCAAACAAGCUCUCAUAAUUGGAAUCUUAAGAGUGAUGCUGAUGUCACCAGGUUAUCAGGUGAAGCUUCCAGGAAUGGGGCAUCAAAGUAAGCCAAUUUGUCCUAUGGAAUAUUAAUAAACUUU